Molecule: ribosomal RNA, 403 nt
Filed under: Fusobacteriota bacterium
Lineage: Bacteria; Fusobacteriati; Fusobacteriota
Description: Fusobacteria bacterium partial 16S ribosomal RNA
Rfam family: Bacterial small subunit ribosomal RNA
Source: RNAcentral
UGGGGAAUAUUGCACAAUGGGGGAAACCCUGAUGCAGCGACGCCGCGUGAGCGAAGAAGGUUUUCGAAUCGUAAAGCUCUGUCCUAUGGGAAGAUAAUGACGGUACCAUAGGAGGAAGCCCCGGCUAACUACGUGCCAGCAGCCGCGGUAAUACGUAGGGGGCAAGCGUUGUCCGGAAUCACUGGGCGUAAAGGGUUCGCAGGCGGAAAUGCAAGUCAGUUGUGAAAGGCAGAGGCUCAACCUCUGUAAGCAAUUGAAACUGUAUUUCUUGAGAUGUGGAGAGGCAAGUGGAAUUCCUAGUGUAGCGGUGAAAUGCGUAGAUAUUAGGAAGAAUACCGGUGGCGAAGGCGACUUGCUGGACACAAACUGACGCUGAGGAAAGAAAGGGUGGGUAGCAAACAGG